AUUGAACGCUGGCGGCAGGCCUAACACAUGCAAGUCGAGCGAGCGGCGGACGGGUGAGUAAUGUAUGGGGACUGCCCGAUAGAGGGGGCUAACUACUGGAAACGGUGGCUAAUACCGCAUACUAUCGGAUAACCCAUAUGGGAUUAGCUAGUAGGUGGGGUAAAGGCUCACCUAGGCUACGAUCUCUAGCUGGUCUGAGAGGAUGACCAGCCACACUGGGAAUGAGACACGGCCCAGACGCGUACGGAGGCAGCAGUGGGGAAUAUUGGACAAUGGGCGAAAGCCUGAUGCAGCCAUGCGGCGUGUAUGAAGAAGGCCUUCGGUUUGUAAAGUACUUUCAGCGGGGAGGCGGUACCCGCAGAAGAAGCACCGGCUAACUCCGUGCCAGCAGCCGCGGGAAUUC
RNAcentral lists this ribosomal RNA (403 nucleotides) under uncultured bacterium. RNAcentral describes it as "partial 16S ribosomal RNA". It matches the Rfam family "Bacterial small subunit ribosomal RNA", at positions 30 to 526 of the family's 1533-position model. The record is from RNAcentral.